Antechinus flavipes (yellow-footed antechinus) is the source of this 3924-nucleotide long non-coding RNA. RefSeq lists it as uncharacterized. The transcript is spliced from 2 exons. The record is from RefSeq and is a predicted model, not a curated record. Lineage: Eukaryota; Metazoa; Chordata; Mammalia; Dasyuromorphia; Dasyuridae.
UAUCUCUUUUAAUUAGAUCAAUUUUUGCUUUAGCUUGAUCUGAGAUCAGGAUGGCUACCCCUGCUUUUUUGACUUCACCUGAAGCAUAGUAGAUUUUGCUCCAACCUUUUACCUUUAACCUGCAUGUAUCUCCCCGCUUCAGGUGUGUUUCCUGUAAACAACAUAUUGUAGGAUUAUGGCUUUUAAUCCAUUCUGCUAACCGCUUCCUCUUUAUGGGGGAGUUUACCCUGUUCACGUUUAUGGUUAGAAUGACCAAUUCUGUCUUACUUGCCAUCUUGUUAACCCCGGUUUAUGUUUUUCUCCCUUCUUUCCCCUUUCCCCCCCUUCCCAGUAUUAAGCUUGUGAGCACCACUUGCUUCUCACAGCCCUCCCUUUUUAGUAUCCCUCCCCCCGCCUUAGAGUUCCUCCCCCUAUCUUACCCUUUUCCCUCCCAGUUCCCGUAUUCCCUUCCGCUUAACUUAUUCCUUCCCUUUUCACUUUUCCCUUCUCACUUUUCAAUGAGAUGGGAGAAGUUUCACCAUAGAUUGAAUAUGUCUUAAGAUUUUUCACUUAAAGCCAAUUCUGAAGGCAGUAAGAUUCCCACUAUAUUCAUCCCCCUCCAUUCUUUCUCUCAGAUAUAAUAGGUUUCCUAUGCCUCUUCAUGAGAUGUACUACCCCCACUUUACCCUUUUUCUGGUACAAUGUCCUUUCCACAUCAAUUUCUAGAACAAGGUAUACAUGUAUUCUUUAUACAUCUAUAUAGUCAAAACAUAGUUCCCAAGAUUAAUCUUUACCUUUUUAGAUUUCUCUUGAGUUCUAUAUUUGUAGAUCAAACUUUUUGUUAAGUUCUGGUUUUUUCAUCAGAAAUAGAUGAAAUUCGCGUACUUCGUUGAAUGUCCAUCUUCUUCCCUGGAAAAAGAUGCUCAUUCUCGCUGGGUAAGUUAUUUUUGGUUGCAUACCAAGUUCCUUAGCCUUUCGGAAUAUCAUAUUCCAGGCCCUUCGAUCUUUUAAUGUGGAUGCUGCCAGAUCCUGGGUGAUCCUUAUUGUGGCUCCUUGAUACUUGAAUUGGGUUUUUCUAGCCGCUUGCAAUAUUUUUUCCUUCAUCUGAGGGUUCUGGCAUUUGGCCACUAUAUUCCUUGGUAUUUUGAUUUUAGGAUCCCUUUCAGUGGGUGAUCGAUGAAUCCUUUCAAUGUUUAUUUUUUCCUCUGUUCCUGUGACUUCUGGGCAGUUCUCUUUGAUAAUUUCCUGGAAAAUAGUGUCCAGGCUCUUUUUUUCAUCAUGUUUUUCUGGAAGUCCAAUGAUUCUCAGAUUGUCUCUCCUGGAUCUGUUUUCCAGGUCUGUUGUCUUCCCCAGAAGGUAUUUCACAUUUUUCUCCAUUGUUUGAUUUUUUUGGAUUUGCUUGACUGAUUCUUCUUGUCUCCUCGAGUCAUUCAAUUCCACUAGUUCAAGUCUGAUUUUCAGUGAAGUAUUCUCUUCACUCACUUUUUAAAAAUCUUUUUCUAAUUGUCCAAUUGAGUUCUUUUGUUCUGUGGAAUUUUUUUCCAUUUCGCCAAUUUUGUUUUCCAGUUCACCAAUCCUAUUUUUCAAGGAUUUUACUUCUUUAUCCACUCUCUCUUUAACUUUCUCCAGGCUCUUUUGCCAAGCCUCCCUCUCCUUUUCCCAAGCCUCCCUCUCCUUUUCCCAAGCUUCCCUCUCCUUUUGCCAAGCCUCACUCUGCUUUCCCCAUUUUUCUUCUAGCUCCCUUGUGAGAGCCUUUUUAAUCACUUCUAUGAGGUUCAUCUGUGCUGAGGAACAGAUGAUCUCCUCCUUUGGGGAUUCACCUGGGGACUGCCUGUUUUUAGUCUCCUCAGGCUUUAGAGUCUGCUCUCUAUCUGUGUAGAAGCUGUCAAGGGUUAAAGUCCUCUUCAGCUUCUUGCUCAUUCUGUCUAUUAAUCAGAGACAAACUACCAAAGAAAAACAGAAAAAACAGGAGUCUUUCUUUGGGGGAGGGGUUGGAUAUGUUAUCGAGCUUCCUCUACAGACUGCAGGGGGCAGCAGUGAGGCACUAGCAGGACUGUGUGCGCCUGAGCCCAGAGCGUGGUGAGUCACUGUGGGGGGGGAAAGAAGGGGGGGGGGGGCGGCCAGGUCCCGGGAGACUCCAGCUGUUUGGGGUUGUAUUCUUCACCCCCGGUGUUUUUAGCUUCUCUGCUGGGCUGCUGACUUGCUGCUGGAGCAAAGUAUCCAAACCUGUAGCGAAACUCUCCCUGUAGAGACAGCUGCGAUCACUCCCCAUCCCCUCUCCAGUCUGCUCCCGUGCUCUCACUGCCGCUGCCCGCCGCCUGCGCCCGAUCUAAAACUGCCCCAGCCCUCCAGUAAAGACAGACCUUUCUUGGCGGAUCUCAAGGAUGGCUUCUCUUGGUAACUAUAUGUGGGUUUUUUUCAGUCAAGCAUUGAUUCAGAGGCUUGUAAUGAGGUGGAUAGUGAGAGAAAGCGUGGAGCUUAUGCAGCUGUGAGCCUCCUCUCCGCCAUCUUAACCGGAAGUCUUAGCAUCUAAAUUCUUAAAAGAGAAAUUAAGAGAGCUGCAAGAUGAAAUAGAUAGUAAAACUAUAAUAGUGGGAGAUCUUAACCUUGCACUCUCAGAAUUAGAUAAAUCAAACCACAAAAUAAAUAGGAAAGAAGUCAAAGAGGUAAAUAGAAUAUUAGAAAAGUUAGAUGUGAUAGAUCUCUGGAGAAAAUGUAAUGGAGACAGAAAGGAAUACACUUUCUUUUCAGCAGUUCAUGGAACCUAUACAAAAAUUGACCAUAUAUUAAGACAUAAAAACCUCAAACUCAAAUGCAGUAAGGCAGAAAUAGUAAAUGCAUCCUUUUCAGACCACGAUGCAAUGAAAAUGACAUUCAACAAAAAACCAGGGGGAAGUAGACCAAAAAAUAAUUGGAAACUAAAUAAUCUCAUACUAAAGAAUGAUUGGGUGAAACAGCAAAUCAUAGACAUAAUUAAUAACUUCACCCAAGAAAACGAUAAUUAAUAAGACAUCAUACCAAAAUGUAUGGGAUGCAGCCAAAGCGGUAAUAAGGGGAAAUUUCAUAUCUCUAGAGGCCUAUUUGUAUAAAAUAGAGAAAGAGAAGGUCAAUGAAUUGGGUUUGCAACUAAAAAUGCUAGAAAAGGAACAAAUUAAAAACCCCCAGUCAAACACUAAAUUUGAAAUUCUAAAAAUAAAAGGAGAGAUCAAUAAAAUUGAAAGUAAAAAAACUAUUGAAUUAAUUAAUAAAACUAAGAGUUGGUUCUAUGAAAAAACCAACAAAAUAGACAAACCCUUAGUAAAUCUGAUUUAAAAAAAGGAAAGAGGAAAAUCAAAUUGUUAGUCUUAAAAAUGAAAAGGGAGAACUCGCCACUAACGAAGAGGAAAUUAGAGCAAUAAUUAGGAGUUACUUUGCCCAACUUUAUGCCAAUAAAUUCGACAACUUAAAAGAAAUAGAAAAAUACCUCCAAAAAUAUAGCUUGCCCAAACUAACAGAGGAAGAAGUAAAUAUCCUGAACAGUCCCAUCUCAGAAAAAGAAAUAGAACAAACUAUCAAUCAACUCCCUAAGAAAAAAUCCCCAGGACCAGAUGGAUUUACAUGUGAAUUCUACCAAACAUUUAAAGAACAAUUAACUCCAAUGUUAUAUAAACUAUUUGAAAAAAUAGGGAUUGAAGGAGUCCUACCAAACUCCUUUUAUGACACAGACAUGGUACUGAUACCAAAACCAGGUAGGCUGAAAACAGAGAAAAAAAAUUAUAGACCAAUCUCCCUAAUGAAUAUUGAUGCUAAAAUCUUAAAUAAAAUAUUAGCAAAAAGAUUACAGAAAAUCAUCACCAGGAUAAUACACUAUGACCAAGUAGGAUUUAUACCAGGAAUGCAGGGCUGGUUCAAUAUUAGGAAAACUAUUAGCAUAAUUGACUACAUCAAUAACCAAACAAACAAAAA